GGUAGAAAUCUCUGUGGAUAAAAUGC
RNAcentral lists this non-coding RNA (26 nucleotides) under Rattus norvegicus (Norway rat). The record is from RNAcentral. Lineage: Eukaryota; Metazoa; Chordata; Mammalia; Rodentia; Muridae.